CCUACGGGGGGCAGCAGUGGGGAAUCUUAGACAAUGGGGGCAACCCUGAUCUAGCCAUGCCGCGUGAGUGAUGAAGGCCCUAGGGUUGUAAAGCUCUUUCAGCUGGGAAGAUAAUGACGGUACCAGCAGAAGAAGCCCCGGCUAACUCCGUGCCAGCAGCCGCGGUAAUACGGAGGGGGCUAGCGUUGUUCGGAAUUACUGGGCGUAAAGCGCACGUAGGCGGACCGGAAAGUUGGGGGUGAAAUCCCGGGGCUCAACCCCGGAACUGCCUUCAAAACUAUCGGUCUGGAGUUCGAGAGAGGUGAGUGGAAUUCCGAGUGUAGAGGUGAAAUUCGUAGAUAUUCGGAGGAACACCAGUGGCGAAGGCGGCUCACUGGCUCGAUACUGACGCUGAGGUGCGAAAGCGUGGGGAGCAAACAGGAUUAGAUACCCCAGUAGU
This 439-nucleotide ribosomal RNA is filed under the name uncultured Paracoccus sp. RNAcentral describes it as "bacterial SSU rRNA". It matches the Rfam family "Bacterial small subunit ribosomal RNA", at positions 338 to 794 of the family's 1533-position model. Lineage: Bacteria; Pseudomonadati; Pseudomonadota; Alphaproteobacteria; Rhodobacterales; Paracoccaceae. The record is from RNAcentral.